This is a long non-coding RNA of Haplochromis burtoni (Burton's mouthbrooder), 4275 nucleotides long. RefSeq lists it as uncharacterized. Lineage: Eukaryota; Metazoa; Chordata; Actinopteri; Cichliformes; Cichlidae. The record is from RefSeq and is a predicted model, not a curated record. The transcript is spliced from 2 exons.
CAUGUUCAUUCACUCAUGAGCUGCUGUAACAUGAAUCCAGUGGCUGAAUCACCACCUCAGCAUGCAGUCACAUUCUAUAGAGUCUUGCUAAUGACCUACUAAGUGUAUUCAGGCGUGUUGCAACAGGGAAACAUGGAAAAGCUUCAGGACAGCGGCCCUUGAGGACUGGAGUUCGAGACCCCUGCUCUAAUCUGUUUACAAGUGAGUAAAUUGGAAUCUACAUUUUUCUUGUUUCUAUGUCCCUUCUGAUCUAUAAACCUUUUAAUGGAUGUCAUCCAACUCACCUUUGGAUAUUGAAUCGAUGGGGAUGUUUGUGUCGUAUGCUGUGAUGUGACAGAUUUGUUCUUUGCAAACUGGAAGAUGCACAAUAAAGUUGACUGGAUGUGACUUAGGUUAUGCUUAUACUUAACUAUUCUAACUAGAUGUGGGGGAACAAGUCUUCUUUCAAAGUCAAAUCUCAGAAGUUGAUGCGUUGAACUGUGAUUAUUAAUCUUCUUUUGAAUGUAUUUGAAUAUAAAAGACAUCCCAAAAAUUCCUUAGAAGAGCCAGCCAGCCAUUAUCCGCUACAUAAAACCUAAGUGUAAAAUGCUUUCCCUGUACUAUCUACUUUAAAGAUGACUGAGAUAUUCGGGGAAAUGAUCCUUUACUUACAAGAUGUCCUUUGGUUUCUUACAACAGAUAAAUAUCAAAAGUGCUUUCAGAAAUGGUCCGUGGCUUUUUCCUGGUACCGUUCACAGUUGCGAUGCAGUUCAUUUAUGGGAAACUUUGAUAUCAGUGCAGAGCUUAAGAUUUUUUUUUUUUUUAUUAUUAUUUUUUUUUUAUCUCUUGCAGAUAGCUAGAAAGUGGGUGUGCCUGUAAUAUGCAUUUAUGCACUGCUGCUGACGAGCCUCACUAUGCUGGUGCCUCAUUUAGACUGUUCAGUUACUUGGAAGCAGUUUUCUGAAGAAAUAUUUCACAACUUUUUUUUGUGUGUGUGUGUGUGUGUGUGUGUGUGUGUUUUGGCACAUGUGUGAGUAGUCGCCGGAACACUUUGUGGCACCAUCAAUUUCUUGCCUAUUGCUGCACGUUUAUCUGUGAAAUUGAUGUUGAAAUAAAUUUAAGCUAAAGGGAUGAAAGAUGUGAGUGCAUGUGUGUAGUGGCCCAUAAGGCACCAGGUGCCCAUUACUGAUGAGGAAGACUUUUUCCCCAAAUUAGCACCUUUACUGUAACAUCAUAAAAGCACAAAGCCCCAGCGUGUAGUCUUUCCUCAAGCAAGACAAUGGCAGUACGGAUAAGUAAUGACUGAUGAGACGGCUAUUCAGCCUGAAAUAUGUGCUCAACAUUUUUAUUCAUUUCUUUUUUUAAAUCAUGAAUGUUUGCAAAGCAUGCCAUAUCAAAUGCACAGCGGUUGUGUCUAGUUUGGGUGAUGUUUUGAAAAGCCCUGCUGCACUUAAAAAUAACACCGCAUUACUUGUGGAUGAAUUCCAGUGUGCAUAAUCCCUUUCCUUACUCACCUAGGCUGUUCUUAUUUUGACAAACCAAAUACUUUAUCACCUUCCCUUGCCCUUCUCGCCCCCUUAAAAGAUACCAGAUUGUCAAAACUGAAUCUCAGUCUCCAUGGAAGCAGCAGUAACAAACAGGCUUUAAGGGCUUCCCCUGUUCAAAAUGUGUGCUGCGUCUUGUUUUGCGAUCUUUCACCCGACUUCCCAUAUGGCGCAUUGAGAAGUACUGAGUCAGUGACUGUUGUGGAAUAACAGGGCGAUCUCACACAUGGACUAAUGCAUACAGCCUCGGGCCUUGGCAGCAGUAUUUAAUGCCAACACUGUGUAGCAGGAUGUACUGGAAUAAACAAACAAAUAAUGAUUAAGGAUAUUCUGGGUGAAUAAUUUACUUGUUGUUCACGCAAUAGAGUCCAGACUAGUCAAAGAUAACAGAACACUCAGAAAAUGGUCAAAAUGAGCCCAGUCUAAUGAACAGUGUUAAAUAUUGUUCUUAGAAAGCCUGAGAGGAGCAACUCUUGAAGCUCUUUUCUGAGCUGAUGAACACAAUGACUGAGUUUGCCUCAGAAGUUAGCUGUUAGAGAGAGAUGAUCCUCUAACCUUAGAAAAACUGGAAAAUAUUUUAAUGGUUGUCAACCCAUGUCUUUAUUGAUAUAUAUACUGAGGUGUCAGAACUCCUCAUUAAGAGUACAGAGGUGGUCUUCAAAGCCCUUCUUUGUCGGGGAGCGAGUUGAGAGAAGCUGCUUGAAGUAUAGAGUUUCCAUAUUGUGCUAAGGCCAUCAAAAAUAGCCAAGAAAUGUUCUAACUUAAGGCAGUUUUCAUUAAAGAAAUGGCCUUCACCUCACAAUUUCCCUCAAAGUCACUCUUAAAAUGCAGCUGCUGUGCACCUUGGGGAGACCCUCAUGACACUCCUUUAAAUUGAAGUGCAGAGGGCUCAGCUACCUGUGGUGGUGUGGUAGGUGCAGAGACUAAAAUGCUCAGUCCUCUGUGGAGGGAGAGGACAGUGAUGGAAAUGUUUUAGAUGGAAAUUAAGAGAGUGCAGCUUCCUCACAUGGCCCCAGCGGUCCAUCAGUGGUGGUGGGGGGAGAGCCUGUUUGGUAUUACUGUCUUGCAGGAGUGCUCUAUCUUUGCUCCGUGAGUUAAAAGGGGAGAUAGAAUUAGACUGCAGAAUUAAAUCUUAUUAGCCCCUGUCCCACUGGCAAUCACCUUUUGCACCAUCUUCAGUGAGUGUUUGAGAGAGUCUGUGUGUGUGAGCAAGGAAGAGGGUAAGGUGGGAAGAAAUUCAACAGGUUAUUACUGACAUUAUAUUUGAAAUGAGCACAGAGGUGUGUGUGUGUGUGUGUGUGUGCGCGCGCAUCCUUGUGGUCUUAGAAUUUACAAUCCAAGUGCUACUUUGCUAGUUUAGAUGCACUGUUAACUUCAGAUUCAGCUGUUAAACUCCCCGUAAAGAACAUCACCUCUGCAUGUACAUCAUAAACUGACCUUAAAAUAGGGAAAUAAAACAGAAACCAGGUGAUGAGACCUACAUUUCAGCCUAAUCGUUUAAUUCAGUGCGGUAAUCUGACUCAUUGCAGAAUUAAUAUCAGCGCUCAUGGUUAUUCAUCAGUACAUAUUAAUGGCAUCCAAUCCAAGAUAUAUAAUUUUUUUGCACCCUGCUUUCAUGUCUCCUUAUAUAAUAGCUUUUAUUCCAGCACUCCUGACAGGGGGCCUUUGGGGCUGAGAAGCAAACUACCUGCCAGUGAAUUCAUGGUGCAUCUUCUGUUCUUCUCAGCACUGUCAGAUUUGACUUUGUUCAGUGUUAAGGGGGGAAGAGAAUCUUCAUGAAUGUGAAAUGGUGUGACCUUUUUGAGAGCUGGGAAAACCCCCCAAAACAUUUCACCUCAUCAUGCGGAUUAUUUUCUCCAUUUCCUAAAAAGUGUACAUUUGCUGCAUGUAGAGUGCUAUCAAGAAUGUUUCAGGUAACCCAGACAAACCACUACAACCAUGUUGGGGCAUUUUUCAUACUGCAUUAGAACAUGGCCAGUUAUCAUAUGAAAAUGUUGCUGUUUCAUAAGACUAGAUAAUUUUGCAAAAAAUGAAGGGGGAAAAAAAUGGAAAUGCAUUUGUUUCCACAGUAAUGACCAUAUGCAGUUUUGUCAUGUGGUUUGGCUCUGCUGCUUGCACAGAGUAUUGUUUACUGUGGUAGGGAGCGUCGGGCACAAUGAGCUUUAUAUAUUCAAAAACAAGGCAAGCAGGAUGGUGUGAUUUAUGCAGAGCUGCUUGUAUACCUGUACAGCACAGCCUGCAAAGCGGUUCUCUACCAACUGCCUUAUAACUGUGUUAAUAUGACUGUCACAACCAAAUUAUUUUGAAAUAAGUGGCAAUGUCAUUGAACUGCCGCUACAUAUAUCGUCACAAACAACCAACUGUUAAGCUUAGCUGAACAUUAACAAGUUAUACAGCAAUGUAGUAGCAGGAAAGAAAUUUUGUUGUAAUGAUCCAUUCUUUAUAGCUGUAGUUCUUCAAAGAAACUGUAAUACACAAGGCUGCACAGAUGUCAAAAUGUUUGAGGGACGAGGAAGGUAUCAGCAGAACCAGUUACUUCCUGUUUUGGCAGCAGUGUUGUUGCUCACUGUUUUAGCACUGCAACCGGAAUAAAUGCUGUGUAUCGCCUUUUGUCUUUCAUGAACUUCGCAACCUUGAGCUCCAGUCUCUAAGUAAUUAUUUAGCCAGAAUGCCACAACAGUGUAUUUACACAAUAACAGGAUUAUUAUUUGUUUCUGCAUGGAGAUUUUGCAGACACCAAUAAAGGUUUUAG